RNAcentral lists this ribosomal RNA (497 nucleotides) under uncultured bacterium. Its description in RNAcentral is "partial 16S ribosomal RNA". It matches the Rfam family "Bacterial small subunit ribosomal RNA", at positions 28 to 507 of the family's 1533-position model. The record is from RNAcentral.
GAUGAACGCUGGCGGCGUGCCUAAUACAUGCAAGUCGAGCGAACAGAUAAGGAGCUUGCUCCUUUGACGUUAGCGGCGGACGGGUGAGUAACACGUGGGUAACCUACCUAUAAGACUGGAAUAACUCCGGGAAACCGGGGCUAAUGCCGGAUAACAUUUAGAACCGCAUGGUUCUAAAGUGAAAGAUGGCUUUGCUAUCACUUAUAGAUGGACCCGCGCCGUAUUAGCUAGUUGGUAAGGUAACGGCUUACCAAGGCAACGAUACGUAGCCGACCUGAGAGGGUGAUCGGCCACACUGGAACUGAGACACGGUCCAGACUCCUACGGGAGGCAGCAGUAGGGAAUCUUCCGCAAUGGGCGAAAGCCUGACGGAGCAACGCCGCGUGAGUGAUGAAGGUCUUCGGAUCGUAAAACUCUGUUAUUAGGGAAGAACAAAUGUGUAAGUAACUGUGCACGUCUUGACGGUACCUAAUCAGAAAGCCACGGCUAACUACGUG